Molecule: ribosomal RNA, 752 nt
Filed under: Emiliania huxleyi
Lineage: Eukaryota; Haptophyta; Isochrysidales; Noelaerhabdaceae
Description: partial Bacterial large subunit ribosomal RNA
Rfam family: Bacterial large subunit ribosomal RNA
Source: RNAcentral
GAGGGAAAGGUGAAAAGAACCCUGAAUAAGGGAGUGAAAUAGAACCUGAAACCAUACGCUUACAAGCGGUCGGAGCAGACUUGAUCUGUGACGGCGUGCCUUUUGCAUAAUGAGCCUACGAGUCACCGUGGCCAGCGAGGGUAAGCAUUUCAGAUGCGCACCCGUAGCGAGAGCGAGUCUUAACAGGGCGAACUAGUUGGUCGAGGUGGACGCGAAACCGUGUGAUCUACCCUUGGGCAGGUUGAAGCUGUGGUAACACAUAGUGGAGGACCGAACCCGUUGACGUUGAAAAGUCUUGGGAUGACCUGAGGGUAGGGGUGAAAGGCCAAUCAAACUCGGAAAUAGCUCGUACUCCCCGAAAUGCAUUUAGGUGCAGCGUUGAUUUAUAGUUUUAUAGAGGUAGAGCUACUGAUUGGAUGCGGGGGCUUCACCGCCUACCAAUUCCUGACAAACUCCGAAUGCUAUAAAAUGUUAAUCAGCAGUGAGGGCAUGGGUGCUAAGGUCCAUGUCCGAGAGGGAAAGAACCCAGACCAUCAGCUAAGGUCCCAAAAUAUAUGUUAAGUUGAAUAAACGAGGUUGAACUGCUUAGACAGCUAGGAUGUUGGCUUGGAAGCAGCCAUUCAUUUAAAGAGUGCGUAACAGCUCACUGGUCGAGCGGUCCGGCAUGGAUAAUGAUCGGGCAUAAAUACACCACCGAAGCUGUGGACUUCCUUUGGAAGUGGUAGGGGAGCAUUGUGUUUGCGUUGAAGGUG